UUUGUCAAGAUAGAAGAUAGU
RNAcentral lists this non-coding RNA (21 nucleotides) under Caenorhabditis elegans. The record is from RNAcentral. Lineage: Eukaryota; Metazoa; Nematoda; Chromadorea; Rhabditida; Rhabditidae.